This 119-nucleotide ribosomal RNA is filed under the name Beta vulgaris subsp. vulgaris (sugar beet). The record is from RNAcentral. Lineage: Eukaryota; Viridiplantae; Streptophyta; Magnoliopsida; Caryophyllales; Amaranthaceae.
GGGUGCGAUCAUACCAGCACUAACGCACCGGAUCCCAUCAGAACUCCGGAAUUAAGAGUGCUUCGACAAGAGUAGUACUAGGAUGGGUGACCUCCUGGGAUGUCCUCGUGUUGCACCCC